AUAGGAUCAGUAAACAGAUCAGUGCGGCUCAGGCGUUAUUCGCUUUCGGUUUCUUCCGGCAAACGGACGCUGAAUACGUAUUGUUUCUGUUGAUUGUUUACUCUCAGACGAUUUAAUGACACAAACUGAGAACUGUUAGCCCGGCAACAACGUUGGGAGAGGGCAGAGGGGUAUGCUCUUUGAAGUGGAUCUCCAUCCUCAGAUUUAUUUCUGGGAAAUGAGUUCUUGCCAAUCAGCGGGAAUAUUACGAGCAUUAUAAACAGCCGUCGCAGCUGAGAACCAUAAUUCAAUCGAAUAAUAGUGGAAUGUUUUCUCAGGCAUUCGGACGAUACAAGUGUUCCAUUGCGCGUUGGCUAUACAGAAUUUCCCCAAUUGCGUUCUAACUUCGCCCGUCUCUCGGCAGAAGGAUUCGAAAGAGCUACAGUUACCGUUCACAGAAGGUGUGGCACGACAUAUGUACAUAUUGUGACUAAUGUCGCAGGUGACGUGACGUCGAGGGACCUCCGGUCCCCAGAUUGGUUCGCCCAUUGAUGUAUGAAAUAUUAAUAGGACAAAAAUGUGUGUGGAUUCAAAAUUCUUUGCAAUUAUUUCGAUUCCCUCUCUCCCUCUCUCUACAGAGAGUCAAAUCAAUUAAAUUUGAUAUAAUUUGCCAACUGUUUUGGUUUUGUGGUUACAAAACAAUUUCUAUACGAAAUACUUGAGUUUUCAAAUAUGAAAGACCAUUCUAGCGCUGCUCUGCCCGGCAUAAUCCACAUAAUUCCCCUUACUUUUUUGGUUCUGGGCCAAGUUUUCCCUCUGCCAGAGACGCUCCAAAGUUCAAGGACGCCUCCAGUCGAGGAUGGCAGCAGCAACAACCGAAUAAUGGAGGAAGUAGUUCCUGGGGAAAUCAAAUCUCAGUUGCAUAGAUAGAAGCUUUGGCAUGAGUCUAAGUUUAAGUUAUUAUCACGAACGAAGGUCGUCAUCAUCGAAUAAUCAAUAUUUACUCUUGCUAUAAUUAAUGCAGGCCAGGGGCCGGGCUUUUCCGCCAGAGGAAAUUUAUUGGAAAAGCGAAAUAUGUAGCAGCCGAGCAGCAGAGCAGCGGAGGCUAUCUUAUCACUCGACACUCGGCGGCGGGCUGGGCCGGGCUGCCAUAAAUAAUCUGAACGAACAAAAUGAAUUGCCUGGAAGGCGAUUUUCGCUGCCCGGGUGCUAUUCCGAUUUAUGACAUUCGCCAACUUAUUUGCUAAUUAAUUAUCAAUUUUAUAUGACAGCCAGAGACUUGAGAUGGCGGGGGGAUAACCAAUUAGUCGAGGAAAUACAUAAUAUUGUUGAAGUUUCGACCUAAACUUCUGAAUUGUCGAGUGCUGCGCACUAGAUGGCACAUGGAGUGCCCCAAAC
Molecule: long non-coding RNA, 1377 nt
Organism: Drosophila miranda
Lineage: Eukaryota; Metazoa; Arthropoda; Insecta; Diptera; Drosophilidae
Exons: 2
Source: RefSeq, a predicted model, not a curated record